AGUGAACGCUGGCGGUAGGCCUAACACAUGCGAGUCGAACGGCAGCACAGUAAGAGCUUGCUCUUACGGGUGGCGAGUGGCGGACGAGUGAGGAAUACAUCGGAAUCUACUUUUUCGUGGGGGAUAACGUAGGGAAACUUACGCUAAUACCGCAUACGACCUACGGGUGAAAGCAGGGGAUCUUCGGACCUUGCGCGAUUGAAUGAGCCGAUGUCGGAUUAGCUAGUUGGCGGGGUAAAGGCCCACCAAGGCGACGAUCCGUAGCUGGUCUGAGAGGAUGAUCAGCCACACUGGAACUGAGACACGGUCCAGACUCCUACGGGAGGCAGCAGUGGGGAAUAUUGGACAAUGGGCGCAAGCCUGAUCCAGCCAUACCGCGUGGGUGAAGAAGGCCUUCGGGUUGUAAAGCCCUUUUGUUGGGAAAGAAAAGCAGCAGGUUAAUACCCCGCAGUUCUGACGGUACCCAAAGAAUAAGCACCGGCUAACUUCGUG
This 492-nucleotide ribosomal RNA is filed under the name uncultured bacterium. RNAcentral describes it as "partial 16S ribosomal RNA". It matches the Rfam family "Bacterial small subunit ribosomal RNA", at positions 29 to 507 of the family's 1533-position model. The record is from RNAcentral.